Molecule: long non-coding RNA, 342 nt
Filed under: Trifolium pratense (red clover)
Lineage: Eukaryota; Viridiplantae; Streptophyta; Magnoliopsida; Fabales; Fabaceae
Description: long non-coding RNA (TPRA_LNC014024)
Source: RNAcentral
AAAAUAACAAACUCCCACUAAAACUGAAUAUCACUUAAUGACUUGACACCCAUACGAGCAAUAUGCUCAUGGAGCCUUUUGGGUGAAAAACUUUAGUAAGCGGAUCCGCAAAUAUGGAGUUUGUACCGAUAUGCUUUAUAGACAACCGUUCACUCUGAACUUGAUCUUUAAUAACAAGAAUUUGAUCUCUAUAUUCUUGAAUUUGUCGAGUUCAUUGUUAUUGAAAAUAGAACUAAUAAUUUAUUGUCACAAAUAACUUUAGUGGUAUUUUAAUUCCUUAUCCACUAUGUGCAGCCCCGUGACAAAGUUCUAUAAUCAGAUGCCUCAUGAUAUGUUAUCUUU